GGAAGAGAUGAGGAAAGCAAUUGAAGAAGAGGUGAACAAAUUAAAAGAGGUCGGAUUCGUCAGAGAGGUAACCUACUGUUGACGGAUUGGCAAGUGUACCAAAUCGUACAAGUAAUAUAAAUGGUAAGACCGAGUAUCGUUUUCCCAAGAGACUCGAAUGGCUUUCUCGUUCGCGUGAAUUAAAAUAAUAAGACUUGAAAAUAAAAAUUAAUAAAUUGGAUUUGAGAACACAAAUAUUAACAUGCAAAAUAAAGUUGAUUCAAUUGACAAAAGAAAACAAUGGAUGAAUGGAUGUUGUUGGGGGUUUACAAUUUCAUCUAAUCUGCUCUCUCUUACCUACUCCUCUUGAAUAUUAGUUUGAUUAAUUAAUUGUUAUGCGACUUUCUUAGCCUCCCCUUAACCCGAUCCCUCGGCGACUUUCUUAGCCUCCCCUUAACCUGAUCCCAUUAACUACUGGCUUGCUAUCUCUAGCCUCCCCUAGCAAUUAAUACCGCAUUAUAAACAGAAGUUAGCGCAAUUGAUCGUCCUACCCAUAUCCCUAGGUGGUAUUGCAAAAUCAAGAAAUUACUCACCAGUUCAUGUCAUUACUGUACGUCCCCAU
This 601-nucleotide long non-coding RNA is filed under the name Vigna radiata. RNAcentral's name for it is "long non-coding RNA (VRAD_LNC008304)". Lineage: Eukaryota; Viridiplantae; Streptophyta; Magnoliopsida; Fabales; Fabaceae. The record is from RNAcentral.